RNA transcript from Zea mays, 1899 nucleotides. It is a transcript of the gene named 3-hydroxyisobutyrate dehydrogenase, with no coding region annotated. The record is from RefSeq and is marked validated. NCBI's taxonomy places the organism in Eukaryota, Viridiplantae, Streptophyta, Magnoliopsida, Poales, Poaceae. The transcript has 11 exons.
ACGCAGUGGAGUGGCUGUGGAUAAACCUACUGAUUGCAAAAGGCUUUCUUGAUUUUAUAAAGCUUCCUGAUUGCGUGUGUUAGUGCGCCACGGAUGCUGAAAGCCUGAAACUGCUCAAGUAGCGCGCAACGACAAGAGCAACGAGGAACAUCAGUUAGGACUACCUCCACAAAUUGAGCAUCGGUUACCCCAUUGCAUCGUCCUCUUCGGCGGCGCUGGCGCCCACACCACCGAACCCUCUUCCAGCUUCCUUCCACCCGAGCACGCCGGUCACCCAUCAUCGCCGAAGCCCUCCCCCUCCUGCUUCAGCUGUGCUGGUAUUAGAUUAGAUCAAAGUGGACCGCGUCGGGUUGGGUCCAGUCCUUUCGCUGAUUGCGGUUGCAGAUUCCUCUCCUGCGAGGCACGAGCUGAGUCCUAUCCCUAUCCGCCCUUGUUGCAGCGGUGCGGAAGGCAAUGGUGGGGUUGGGAUGGAGAGUCGGCUCAAAGGUGCAGAGAUGGGGCCGGAGCUGCCUCCGGGGUUUCUCUUCUGCUGCAGUUCCGUCUCAGCUGGAGAAUGUCGGAUUCAUCGGACUUGGGAACAUGGGUUCCCAUAUGGCAAGGAACUUGAUCACGGCUGGAUAUAAAGUGACUGUUCAUGAUAUAAAUGAAAAUUCUAUGAAGAAAUUCUCAGAGGAUGGAAUCCCUACAAAACAGUCUCCACUUGAAGUAUCAGAAUCGAGUGAUGUCAUAAUUACCAUGCUUCCUUCAUCUACUCAUGUUUUAGAAGUAUACAAUGGACCCAAUGGCUUGCUUUGUCGGGGCGAACGCUUGGGCCCAUGGUUAUACAUAGAUUCAUCAACAGUUGAUCCACAAACAUCAAGAAAGAUAUCGACAGCCAUCUCAAGAUGCCUUUUAAAAGAAAAGAAAGGUUACGCUGAAAGCCCUAAGAUUCUGGAUGCUCCGGUGUCUGGAGGUGUUCCUGCUGCAGAAGCUGGCAAGCUAACUUUCAUGGUGGGUGGUCUUGAGGAAGCGUAUUUAGCAGCCAAGCCCUUACUUCAAGCAAUGGGGGAAAAAACAAUCUACUGUGGUGGUGCUGGAAAUGGCUCGGCUGCAAAGAUAUGUAACAACAUGGCAAUGGCAAUCAGCAUGCUUGGGGUCUCCGAGGCCUUUGCUCUUGGCCAGAACCUUGGGAUCAAAGCAACUACUCUCACAGACAUUUUCAACUGUUCAAGCGCUCGCUGCUGGAGUAGGUAUUCUCUCCUUUGCUCAUCUUAUUGUGGUCUAAGCUGCUGCGACUUGGGGAUUUUCUUCCUAAAGAAUUGGAAGGCGAUACAUAUAAUCCAGUUCCUGGAGUUAUGGAAGGUGUACCAUCAUCAAGGAACUAUAGUGGUGGUUUCACUUCCAAAUUAAUGGCCAAAGAUUUGGAUUUGGCCAUGGCUUCUGCAUCUGGAGUUGGCUUCAAAUGCCCCAUGGGUUCCAAUGCACUUGAAAUUUACCGAAAACUAUGCGAGGAUGGUUGUGAACUCAAAGACUUCUCGUGUGCAUUCCGACAUUACUAUUCUGGCAAGAAUGAAGAGUGAUCUUGGAUACGCUGCAAAAUUUCCUCCUUUCGAAAUCAAUAAAACAGCAAAUAAAGUUAGGACCUGAUUAUGUCCCAUGAAUUGAAACAUUGAAACCAAUAUCUAGAAAGUGUGUUUCCUUGUUUCAUUAUUAGAUUACUUUCUAAUUGGUCUAAAUUCCUGGAACCGAACAGGACCUUAUUGGAAAGUUUACAGUAUAAGCUGUGUAGCAUUGUACCAGAGUCCAGAGACAUGGUGGUUGUUUGUUGACCAGUGGUGAUGAUCUGAUCAUCUGGUUAAAACUGUUAUUGGUUUUGCUUCUAGGCAAUCAAGUGAUACUGUUCUGGGACAGAUUCAACCA